CCCAGUUCGGAUUGUAGUCUGCAACCCGACUACAUGAAGCUGGAAUCGCUAGUAAUCGCGGAUCAGAAUGCCGCGGUGAAUACGUUCCCGGGUCUUGUACACACCGCCCGUCACACCAUGGGAGUCGGAAAUGCCCGAAGUCUGUGACCCAACCUUAGGGAGGGAGCAGCCGAAGGCAGGUCGGAUGACUGGGGUGAAGUCGUAACAAGGUAUC
Molecule: ribosomal RNA, 214 nt
Filed under: uncultured bacterium
Lineage: Bacteria
Description: partial 16S ribosomal RNA
Rfam family: Bacterial small subunit ribosomal RNA
Source: RNAcentral